RNAcentral lists this ribosomal RNA (477 nucleotides) under Candidatus Scalindua brodae. RNAcentral describes it as "bacterial SSU rRNA". It matches the Rfam family "Bacterial small subunit ribosomal RNA", at positions 365 to 832 of the family's 1533-position model. Lineage: Bacteria; Pseudomonadati; Planctomycetota; Candidatus Brocadiia; Candidatus Brocadiales; Candidatus Scalinduaceae. The record is from RNAcentral.
UUCGCAAUGCCCGAAAGGGUGACGAGGCGACGCCGCGUGGGUGAGGAAGGCCCUCGGGUUGUAAAGCCCUGUCAGGAGUUAAGAAAUGUAAGUGCGCUAAUAUCGCAUUUAUUUGACGAAGGCUCCAAAGGAAGCCACGGCUAACUCUGUGCCAGCAGCCGCGGUAAUACAGAGGUGGCAAGCGUUGUUCGGAAUUAUUGGGCGUAAAGAGCACGUAGGUGGGUUUGUAAGUCAGAUGUGAAAGCCUUCUGCUCAACGGAAGAAUUGCAUCUGAAACUGCGGGUCUUGAGUGUAGGAGGGGAGAAUGGAACUUCUGGUGGAGCGGUGAAAUGCGUAGAUAUCAGAAGGAACGCCGGCGGCGAAAGCGAUUCUCUGGCCUAUUACUGACACUCAGUGUGCGAAAGCUAGGGGAGCAAACGGGAUUAGAUACCCCGGUAGUCCUAGCCGUAAACGAUGGGCACUAAGUAGAGGGGUUUU